RNAcentral lists this ribosomal RNA (679 nucleotides) under Raffaelea campbellii. RNAcentral describes it as "partial large subunit ribosomal RNA". Lineage: Eukaryota; Fungi; Ascomycota; Sordariomycetes; Ophiostomatales; Ophiostomataceae. The record is from RNAcentral.
CCGAGUUCCUUGGAACAGGACGCCAGAGAGGGUGAGAGCCCCGUACGGUCGGACGCCUAGCCCGUGCAAAGCUCCUUCGACGAGUCGAGUAGUUUGGGAAUGCUGCUCAAAAUGGGAGGUAAAUUUCUUCUAAAGCUAAAUACCGGCCAGAGACCGAUAGCGCACAAGUAGAGUGAUCGAAAGAUGAAAAGCACUUUGAAAAGAGGGUUAMACAGCACGUGAAAUUGUUGAAAGGGAAGCGCUUGUGGCCAGACGUGCGCCCCGCGGACCACCCGUCGCUCUGCGGCGGGGCACGCCGCGGCGGCGCAGGCCAGCAUCGGCUCUCCCAGGGGGACAAAGGCCGCGGGAACGUAGCUCCUUCGGGAGUGUUAUAGCCCGCGGCGUCAUACCUCUGGGGGGGCCGAGGACCGCGCCUUCGGGCAAGGAUGCUGGCGUAAUGGCCACCAGCGACCCGUCUUGAAACACGGACCAAGGAGUCAAGCAUUGGGGCGAGUGUUUGGGUGACAAACCCGCACGCGAAAUGAAAGUGAACGCAGGUGGGAGCCUCCGGGCGCACCACCGACCGAUCCUGAUGUUUUCGGAUGGAUUUGAGUAGGAGCCUUGCCGCUUGGACCCGAAAGAUGGUGAACUAUGCCUGUAUAGGGUGAAGCCAGAGGAAACUCUGGUGGAGGCUCGCAGC